UAGGGAAUCUUCGGCAAUGGGGGCAACCCUGACCGAGCAACGCCGCGUGAGUGAAGAAGGUUUUCGGAUCGUAAAGCUCUGUUGUAAGAGAAGAACGUGUGUGAGAGUGGAAAGUUCACACAGUGACGGUAACUUACCAGAAAGGGACGGCUAACUACGUGCCAGCAGCCGCGGUAAUACGUAGGUCCCGAGCGUUGUCCGGAUUUAUUGGGCGUAAAGCGAGCGCAGGCGGUUUAAUAAGUCUGAAGGUAAAGGCAGUGGCUUAACCAUUGUUCGCUUUGGAAACUGGUAAACUUGAGUGCAGAAGGGGAGAGUGGAAUUCCAUGUGUAGCGGUGAAAUGCGUAGAUAUAUGGAGGAACACCGGUGGCGAAAGCGGCUCUCUGGUCUGUAACUGACGCUGAGGCUCGAAAGCGUGGGGAGCAAACAGG
This 429-nucleotide ribosomal RNA is filed under the name bacterium. RNAcentral's name for it is "partial 16S ribosomal RNA". It matches the Rfam family "Bacterial small subunit ribosomal RNA", at positions 355 to 776 of the family's 1533-position model. The record is from RNAcentral.